Long non-coding RNA from Cicer arietinum (chickpea), 1479 nucleotides. RefSeq lists it as uncharacterized. NCBI's taxonomy places the organism in Eukaryota, Viridiplantae, Streptophyta, Magnoliopsida, Fabales, Fabaceae. The record is from RefSeq and is a predicted model, not a curated record.
UUUUUUUUUUUAUGAAACACGAAAGAAAAGCACGAAAAGCAAGAAAUUUCCUUCUUUUCAUCUUCGUUUUCCAAUCUUUUUCUUUGGAAUUCUUUAUAUAAAUUGAUUUGACGAACGUGUUUCUUGAUUACUGCGAUUGUAUUCUCUUUAGCUAAUUUCUCAAUUGUUCAAGAUUGUACACUGGUGAUCGAUUAAAAUUUAUAUGGCUUUGCAAUUGCAAACCCUAGAUGGAGAAUUUUGAUUCUUUUAUUUGAAAGUUUUCGAAAUGGAAUAUUUGAACAUCUGAAUGAUGGAUUCUUUAUUCGAUUAUUAUGAAUGGUGACCCUGACCCUAAUAUUUGAUCAUCGAGUUGAAAACUCAAAAUGCAUUUGCAUUGUGGCUAUUAAAUUGAAACUGGGUUGAUUUACGUACGCACUCCUUGAGGCUUUAAUACAAUGACAUUAUGAAUUCUUUAUUCAUGGUGAAAAUUUUGGAUAUUGGUGACUCUAAUUGCAUUUGCAGUACCAUGAAUUUUGGAUAUUAGUGACAUGGCUAAAUAGUCUUUCUUUCUUUCUUCUACAAACAUAAUUUCUCCUACCUUAAGCCCAAAGGGAGUAGCUUUGAUGAGAUCACGAGAUUGUACCCUGAUCAUACCAAAAGAAUGGAAGGCAGACAACUAAUAGUCAUUGGACUAUGAUUUUGAGUUAAUUAUAGAUAAAGACCAAGGAAAGUGAUCGAGUUGAAAGCUCAAAAAGAAAUCAACAAUCAAAGUCAACUAUAGUCAAUUAUGCUAGAAGUCUUAUAUAUGUAAGGUACAUGAUGCAAUAUAAUAUUCUUAUAUUUUAAAUGCACACGAGAACCUUUUAUUUUAGCAUAUACAUCAAAAAAAAUUUCAAAGUGUGAAAAUACAUGAGCAAUGUUUGAAAAUAAAGUUUUUGACAAAAAUCAAUGUUGUAUUUGACGACAACAUGUUGUUGCCGAAUACAGACUCAAGUCAGUAACUAAAACUGGACUUUUGUAUUCGACUACGAGAUGGUGUAGCCAAAUACAAGUGAUAAGUCAGUAGCUGAACUUUUGUAUUUGACUACGAGAUAGUCUAGUCGAAUACAAGUGUUAAGUCAGUAGCUAAGAUUGCAUAUUUGUAUCCGACUACAACAUGGUGUAGCUGAAUACAAAACAAAGUCAGUGACAAAAUUCACUCAUCUGUAUUCGACUACAAGAAAGUGUAUUCGAAUACAAGCUGUAAAAUUUGAAUAAAACUGAACGUUACAAGAGUUGUAUUCAACUACACUCCUGAUGUAGUCGAAAACAAUUGCGAAACAAUACAAUUUUUUAGUUCAGAUUCAACUUGGAUCAUUUCAUAUAUUCAUCAAACCUCUAGGAACGAUUGCCACUGAUGUGAAGUGAUGUCUAAGGAGUAUAAAUACUUCAUAGCUUUAGACUUAACGAAUUACUCUUCUCCAAAUCUUUUCAUCAAUCUAAGAACAACUUUGAACAAAU